CCUACGGGUGGCAGCAGUGGGGAAUAUUGCACAAUGGGCGCAAGCCUGAUGCAGCCAUGCCGCGUGUGUGAAGAAGGCCUUCGGGUUGUAAAGCACUUUCAGCGGGGAGGAAGGCGUUAAGGUUAAUAACCUUGUCGAUUGACGUUACCCGCAGAAGAAGCACCGGCUAACUCCGUGCCAGCAGCCGCGGUAAUACGGAGGGUGCAAGCGUUAAUCGGAAUUACUGGGCGUAAAGCGCACGCAGGCGGUCUGUCAAGUCGGAUGUGAAAUCCCCGGGCUCAACCUGGGAACUGCAUUCGAAACUGGCAGGCUAGAGUCUUGUAGAGGGGGGUAGAAGUCCAGGUGUAGCGGUGAAAUGCGUAGAGAUCUGGAGGAAUACCGGUGGCGAAGGCGGCCCCCUGGACAAAGACUGACGCUCAGGUGCGAAAGCGUGGGGAGCAAACAGGAUUAGAUACCCGGGUAGUC
Molecule: ribosomal RNA, 465 nt
Filed under: uncultured Klebsiella sp.
Lineage: Bacteria; Pseudomonadati; Pseudomonadota; Gammaproteobacteria; Enterobacterales; Enterobacteriaceae
Description: bacterial SSU rRNA
Rfam family: Bacterial small subunit ribosomal RNA
Source: RNAcentral